This 71-nucleotide transfer RNA is filed under the name Dipodomys ordii (Ord's kangaroo rat). It matches the Rfam family "tRNA". From Rfam's summary of the family: Transfer RNA (tRNA) molecules are approximately 80 nucleotides in length. Their secondary structure includes four short double-helical elements and three loops (D, anti-codon, and T loops). The record is from Rfam by way of RNAcentral. Lineage: Eukaryota; Metazoa; Chordata; Mammalia; Rodentia; Heteromyidae.
GGAGCUGUGGCUCAAGUGGUAGAGUGCUUGCCUAGCAUGCAUGAAAUCGUGGGUUCAAUUCCUCAGUACCA